Non-coding RNA from Drosophila virilis, 4198 nucleotides. Lineage: Eukaryota; Metazoa; Arthropoda; Insecta; Diptera; Drosophilidae. The record is from RefSeq and is a predicted model, not a curated record.
AUUAGUCAUCACAAAGCAUAUGGCAAAACUCUUUUGGAACUUUGACGCUUGUUGCUUCUUAUGGGAAAACUUACGGGCAACGUUAUUGAUAUUUGUAUAGCCUGAACUCAUGUAAAAUGUAGAAAAAUGGUAAAUUAGAAGAGAAAACUGGGCGAAACGACUGCCAGAGGACAACAUAGAGGUCACUGGUAAAUUUGAAAUAUGAGAAUUGUGUUUUAGAACUUAAAAUCUUGUUAAGAUUUACCAGAAAGCCGAGAAGUACUAAUGUUUAAAGAAGAAUGUAUUGGUUAACUGAAUUAAUAACCUUACAUUCAUUUUUUGUUUGAUAAAUGAUGACAAAGCAUCGUAAAUGACAAGCUAUACGGCGUGGACAUAAUUUAUAGUCCCAUCUCAUGUGGUGAGGAUGGAAGAAUUACGAGCUCCAUCAAUGGAAUUCGUGUUAAGCGCCGUUAAAGUGGUAGAAAUGGUUUGACAAUGUCAUAAAGAUGGCAGUGUGGACACGUCUGGGUGAGCUUUUACAUGAACUACCAAAACACUAAAUGGUCAAUUUACGUGGCUUACUGCAUCCUCUUGAUAUUAGGGCGAUAUUCGGUAGUGAGGCGGAGCACUCGCCUGCUGCUUGACGCCAGAAAUGCGGAAUCGUAGACAUUCCGGAACGGGCAUCCCUGGCCUCCACAGUAAAUUACCUCCCUUCAAGAACGACACCCUCCAAAGCCAUUCGAAGGCGUUGCUGAUGUGUCUUACAAUACAGUAGAGCAGUUCCUCGGAACAUAAACUGAUAGUCGUCAAAAGCCUCCACAGCCUGAAGAUGAGAUAGCAUAUUUCUUCGGAAGAUUUUUGAGAAUAUGGGGGCUUGCUAGAGAUCGUAGAAACAGCAACACCGGUUAUACACUUCUGAAAAGUCGAUCCCAGAAGGCAGACGCCCAUCCAGUGUCCAGGGCUUGAAGGCUGGACCAAAAUAUAGAAGACUAGAAGGUCUCUUCCAUAGCAAGACCGUUUACAAUCCCAGAAUUGAAAACGGUCUAUCCACUUGCCACCCAGAGACGUCAAAAGACCCUAGAGAAUUCCUCAUACAAUGUUCUCAAUACGAACCACGAAGAGUUGCUAGAUGGUCUUAUUGAAGCUAUUCUGUAGAAAAACUUAAGUGUGCUAGGAGCGUUCGCGCGAAAGUUAUGGAAAUAUUCUUUUCUUCAAGAUUUCCUCAUCAAAUUCCAAUAUACAUAUCUUCAAGUCGUAAGCCAUAUGCCUGCAAGAAGAUAGCCGCUCCUGCACUUAAUUUAAAUGAUCUGAUAUGUUUGGAUAAAUUGUGAGUACGUAUUGCGUUUAAUGGUAAUUUAAAAACAAAUUAGUUUUUGGCAGAGGGGCCAUUUAAUAAGUUGCAAUAAAAUAAUAAUGAGUACUGCACAAAAAUUUUCAAUAUAUUUUCUACUAAUGAAAAACAAAAGGUAAUUUCUGUAUUAUUGUUUACGUUUUGGUGUUUUUGGUGAAAACUGUAAGUUCUAGAAUUCUUAAUCAUUGCUUUAAAAUUUUUAAAAGACAAAAUUAAUAUGUAUUUUCUUCUUUUACGUAAGCCUUCUGGGAAAUAAUUGAUGGACAAUUAGUCCUGAGCUUUAUUUAUUUUUUUGUUAGCAUUUUUGGCGGUUGACUGUAUUUGUCACAACGUUCGUAAAAUUAAAAGUGUCCGUGUAACAUCUAUUGACUAAGGUCGAGAGCAGGACAUCGAAGGAGUCCAAGAACAUGCUGCAACAAACAAAUCAAAUAUAUAGAAAUAGCAGAAACAAUCGUAGAACAGUUGAUUACCAAAAAUUAUUCCAAAACAGUUUGAGGGCAAACAAAAGAUAUUUAACAAAAUGAAAACCAAACUCAAGUGAAGGUAAGCAACGGAACACAACAAAUUUAGAGAUCAUCGCAGCCUUGCUCUGGGAAAAAAGAACACUCAAAGAGAAUGAUUCGUAAGCAAAACGCCAAACAUAGAAGCAUUUCUUGCGAAAUAGUCAAAAUUUCAUCUCGCGAUUAAAUAAAAGGCCUUCCCUUUUAUUCCAGUACGCCCAUGGAAAUUGGCACUGGACAGAAUAAAACGAAAAUUAACCAAAAUAAAAGAACAUACAGCUACACCUAAAUAAAUAUUACCAAAAUCGAUGUUUUGAAUAUAAGGACAAAAUAUAUGCACAAUUGAAAGAAAUGCCAAUGGGAUUACUGGCCUCCCUAGGCCUCGCUGACAUGAUAAUGGACGAACUGUUGGAUAAAACUACUGACAAAUUAGAAAUAAAACUAAAAGGGAGUUUCCAACUAGGAGAUGUCCUGAAUCCUGUCAUUCAACACUAAUUACAUUCCGCUUCGAACAAUAAAGGCGACUAAUUUCUCCUUAGUUUAAAUAUUGGCCGACGUGCGCGACAAUAAGACGAUACGAGGUUCUGUUUUAGAUAUUAACAUCUAAAUAUAAAUAUCGCUGACCAGCAAUGCGGCAAACAGACAACAAAAUCCGAUGGUUCCUAGAUGACCCAUAUAUCCUUGGUGUUACCAUACCAAAGAUAUCGUCCUGGCGAACCUAAAUGACCGAAGUAGUAACAAUAUAUGAAUGAUUUUUUCAGCCGUCCCCAGCAACAGCCCAAUCCAAAUCCAUGGUACCUAGUUGACCCAUAUAUCCUUGAUUAUACCAUGUCAUUGAUAUAGUCCUGGUGAACCUAAAGGAUCAGAUCGGUCCAGAAAUAUGUAUGAUUUCUUGCUUCCAGUGCCCCUUUUAUAGAAUAUUGUCAUUCAAAUUUACGAUCGUUGAUUUACCAGUUAACUGUUAAAAACAAUUAAAUAACUUGUUAGGGUGCAAUGAAAUUGUUAUUAAAAAAUUUUUAGUUCGACUGCCUACUGGAAAUUUAUGUUCGCCUGGUACUUUAGCCGAAUUUUCAUUAAAACUUGAGCACGCAGCUGCUCCUCCGCCCGCCCCGUUUGGGUAUGCAAUGAAAUUUUUGAUUCACAAAAAUUUUAGUUCGUCUACCUGCUGGGCAUUUCUGUUCGCCUGGUAUUUUUGCUUAAUUUCCAUUCAAAUCUAACGCCCCUUCGUAGCAGCGGCUGUUAACAGGGGUAUGUUAAGUAACAGCUGCAGCGGCUGGUUAACAGUGAACUGUUAAAUAACAGCUGCUGUUUAACAGUUGACUGUUAAACUAAAUUUUUCUGUGUAUCUACCUGCUGGGCAUUUCUGUUCGCCUGGUACUUCAGCUGAAUUUUGAUUUAAAAAGGAGAUCCCAACGGCCGGUCACAGUGUUAUGGUAUUUUGCAACCGUUAAUUUUUAAACCUCAAUUUAAUUGUGGACAAUGCUUUUAAGCGAAUUUUGAUGGAAUAUGAUAGGAACCAUAUAGGGACGGUCGGCUGAAAGAAACGCAUGUGUAUUUAUAUUUUGCAUGGACUUGGUACUGUAGGUUCACCAGGACUAUAUCAAUGGUAUGGUAAAACCAAGGAUAUGUGGGUCAUCUAGGAACCAUGGGGUUUGACUGAAUUUUCGCCCAAAACGAAGCCGAUAUGGCUAGAUAAGCAGAUAAGACGAACUGCAAAUACUGUUUGUCCAAAAAUGUAAAUGGCCAUAACCCGGCCAAAUAAAGACCGAUCCUGGGAAAUAUAAGAGCGUUAAACUUGUGAUAGUCUAGCUAGGAUACCGAGGAGUGAUUCUUUGCUCAUGAAAUUUACGACGCAUCAGUGGGAAUAUUAGGCUAUUUGUUGAACACUAAUUUCUGAUUGCAAAAAAAAAAUCUUAACAUGAUAUUAGAUUAGAGACUAAUUUAAGUUGAACUAUCUAUUUCAGAGUGGCAUUCAUGUUCAAAGGACAAGCACUAAAGUCUCAACAGGAUUUCAAUACAGAACGCGACUUACGAGAUUUUACAUCAGAGAGCAAUAACGCCCAUGAUGCAUCGCGGCCUGUGCUGGUAAGAAAGGUUUCAAUAUACAACAAGAAUGCCUGGAAAAGUAAAAUUAAAAGAAACUUUGACGAAAUUGAUAAGGCUUCCGUCAGUUUUGGCCUCCUUAAUCCUCUGGUGUAGUUAUAAAUAUUUUAACUUCUAUCUAGACUUACUAUCUGAAGUAUAACUUACUCAUAUUUGCUUUGUGUUAGGGGAAUAUUAUAAUAAAAAUUAUGCUCAAUACUUAGGAAAAUUAAUCAAAUAUGUUUAGAUAUAAAGCGAUACUAAUAAAAACAAGUACAAUUGUUAA